This 429-nucleotide ribosomal RNA is filed under the name Bacteroidota bacterium. RNAcentral describes it as "Bacteroidetes bacterium partial 16S ribosomal RNA". It matches the Rfam family "Bacterial small subunit ribosomal RNA", at positions 355 to 776 of the family's 1533-position model. Lineage: Bacteria; Pseudomonadati; Bacteroidota. The record is from RNAcentral.
UAGGGAAUCUUCCGCAAUGGACGCAAGUCUGACGGAGCAACGCCGCGUGAGUGAAGAAGGAUUUCGGUUCGUAAAACUCUGUUGUUAGAGAAGAACAGCGCAUAGAGUAACUGUUAUGCGUGUGACGGUAUCUAACCAGAAAGCCACGGCUAACUACGUGCCAGCAGCCGCGGUAAUACGUAGGUGGCAAGCGUUGUCCGGAUUUAUUGGGCGUAAAGCGAGCGCAGGCGGUCAAUUAAGUCUGAUGUGAAAGCCCCCGGCUCAACCGGGGAGGGUCAUUGGAAACUGGUUGACUUGAGUGCAGAAGAGGAGAGUGGAAUUCCAUGUGUAUCGGUGAAAUGCGUAGAUAUAUGGAGGAACACCAGUGGCGAAGGCGACUCUCUGGUCUGUAACUGACGCUGAGGCUCGAAAGCGUGGGUAGCAAACAGG